RNAcentral lists this ribosomal RNA (1241 nucleotides) under human gut metagenome. RNAcentral's name for it is "bacterial LSU rRNA". It matches the Rfam family "Bacterial large subunit ribosomal RNA", at positions 1290 to 2539 of the family's 2925-position model. The record is from RNAcentral.
GAGAAUGCCGGAAUGAGUAGCGAGAUGGAGGUGGGAAUCCUCCAGGCCGAAUAUCUAAGGUUUCCAGAGUAAAGCUGAUCUGCUCUGGGUAAGUCGGGACCUAAGGCGAGGCCGAAAGGCGUAGUCGAUGGACAACAGGUAGAGAUUCCUGUACCCGUAUAUAUGUGAAGGAAUGACGGAGAGAGGAAGCUGCAGCCAGCGGCUGGAAGAGCUGGUGCAAGCGAGAUAUCGGGAUGGCAGGCAAAUCCACCAUCCGAAACGAGAAGGCGUGAAGCGUACGGAAAGCUACGGCGAGUACGGAAGGCAGUGGAGGAACUUCCAAGAAAAGUUUCUAACGUUAAGUAUAUAUGGCCCGUACCGAAAAUGGACACACAUGGGUGAGGAGAGAAUCCUAAGGUGAGCGAGAGAACUAUAGCUAAGGAACUCUGCAAAAUGACUCCGUAACUUAGGGAGAAGGAGUGCUCAUAGAGAUAUGAGCCGCAGUGAAACGGCCCAAGCGACUGUUUACCAAAAACACAGCUCUCUGCUAAGCCGCAAGGCGAAGUAUAGGGGGUGACGCCUGCCCGGUGCUGGAAGGUUAAGGGGAGGGGUUAACGCAAGUGAAGCCCUGAACUGAAGCCCCAGUAAACGGCGGCCGUAACUAUAACGGUCCUAAGGUAGCGAAAUUCCUUGUCAGGUAAGUUCUGACCCGCACGAAAGGCGUAACGAUUUGGGCGCUGUCUCAGCUGUAGACUCGGUGAAGUCUUAGUACCUGUGAAGAUGCAGGUUACCCGCGACUAGACGGAAAGACCCCAUGGAGCUUCACUGCAGGUUGAUAUUGGGAUUUGAUGCAGCAUGUACAGGAUAGGUAGGAGGCAAAGAGAUGGAUACGCCAGUAUUCAAGGAGCCGCUGUUGGGAUACUACCCCUGUUGUAUUGGAUUUCUAACCGGACGACGUAGAGCCGUUGACGGGACAGUGUCAGUCGGGCAGUUUGACUGGGGCGGUCGCCUCCCAAAGAGUAACGGAGGCGCCCAAAGAUACCCUCAGCUUGGAUGGAAACCAAGCGCAGAGUGCAAAGGCAAAAGGGUGUUUGACUGCGAGACCUACAAGUCGAGCAGGGACGAAAGUCGGGCUUAGUGAUCCGGCGGUACCGAAUGGAAGGGCCGUCGCUCAACGGAUAAAAGCUACCCCGGGGAUAACAGGCUGAUCUCCCCCAAGAGUUCACAUCGACGGGGAGGUUUGGCACCUCGAUGUCGGCUCA